Molecule: long non-coding RNA, 1036 nt
Filed under: Marmota monax (woodchuck)
Lineage: Eukaryota; Metazoa; Chordata; Mammalia; Rodentia; Sciuridae
Rfam family: tRNA (bases 620-691)
Source: RNAcentral
GAAUAAAGAGGGCUAUUAUAUCAGUAAAUUUUUUUAUUUGGGAUUAUAUCUAAUAUCAGUAUAUUUUAGUCUUUCCUGUUCAGGUAACCAGAAAUCCUAGAAAAAUACUCUCAUCUCUUGUUGGGGAAUAUAGGCCUAUAAGUGCUCUGGGAUCUGAGUAGAUAAAAAAGGCAGAAUGAAGAAGGCUGGUUCAACACUCACUAUGUAGCUGUCCAUUUACUCCCCCAAUUUUCACUUGGCACCCAGUGAAACUCAACUGCCUUACCCAAUGGGAAAAUACAUCUAACAUCUUCUUCACUGGGGGAGGUUUUGGAUAAUGUAGAAAAUUUAGGAAAAUCAAAUUGCUACAUAAACAGAUUUUCACACAGUCCUUUUUUAAAGUUCUUUCUUUAUCCUGUUUUCUGUAAUACAUGGCAUAAAAUUCCUGGGCAUUUUGGGGAUGGGGUUCUGUGGGGAAAAUUGGAUUGCUUCUUCGCUUUUCCUACUUCUUAUUUAAAAUUCAUCCAUUUUAGGUAAGCAGUUUAGUAUGUGAAUGAGGUAUUGGGAAUUAGCAUAUGAUGAUUUUCUUGAAGUUACAAGUGUUGGUUUGUAUAUGCUUUUAAGAGUCCAAUUUAGGGCCUGGGUUGUGGCUCAGUGGUAGAGCACUUGCCUAACACAUGUGAAGCACUGGGUUUGAUCCUCAGCACCACAUAUAAAUAAAUAAAAUAAAGAUACCGUAUCCCUCUAUAACUAAAAAUAUAUUUUAAAAAAAGAAUCAAAUUUAGGUGUCUAGAGAUUAAGGUGGGUGUAAAUAAACUGAGAAGGAGGUCCUUGUCACAGAUACUGAUACUAACAUUAUAUUGUUUUGCAUACUGUUUAGUUCAAGAACACUGAUAGAAACAAUGAAGAAGCAGAUUCUUACAGAGCAGGAAAAAUGUUUGAAAGAAAAUUCCUUCUAGUUGAGCACAAUAAUAGUGGUAUUUUAAAAACCAGCCAUCUGUAGCUGGGUGAGGUAGAGAAUGCCUAUAAUUCCAGUGACUCAGGAGGCCGAGACAGG